Molecule: unclassified non-coding RNA, 204 nt
Filed under: Hevea brasiliensis (rubber tree)
Lineage: Eukaryota; Viridiplantae; Streptophyta; Magnoliopsida; Malpighiales; Euphorbiaceae
Source: RNAcentral
GCUGUUACUCAUUCGGCUGGGGGUAGCAGCAUUAUUUGAAAAGAAGCCAAGAUUGAAGAGAUUGGUGUGGGAGGAGUUGUUGGAGGUGUUUUGAAGAUCAUGAAGUUGCAUUAGCCCAUGUAAGGAUUUAUUUGGAAAUGAACCUUGAUUUGCAUCUGAUAUGAAGAAACCAGAAGAAGGCAUCGUUGGCAAGGACGAAGAAUU